Molecule: ribosomal RNA, 1397 nt
Filed under: metagenome
Description: SSU rRNA
Rfam family: Eukaryotic small subunit ribosomal RNA
Source: RNAcentral
AAUGCAGUGCCCGAACAGGGCGUUGUAAUUGGAAUGAGAACAAUUUAAAUCCCUUAUCGAUUAACAAUUAGAGGGCAAGUCUGGUGCCAGCAGCCGCGGUAAUUCCAGCUCUAAUAGCGUAUAUUAAAGUUGUUGCAGUUAAAAAGCUCGUAGUUGGAUUUCGGCGUGCGCUCAGGCUGGUCGGCCGUCAAGGUCUGUACCGUUUGGGUCACGCCCCACUGUAGGAUACUCACCGCUGUCCUUAACUGGGUGGCGGUCAAAGGGGGUGUGCAAGGGGGCAACUCUGUGCAUAUCUCUGGGGUUCCUACUCUUUUACUUUGAGCAAAUUAGAGUGUUCAAAGCAGGCAAUCGAGCCUUGAAUACUUCAGCAUGGGAUAAUGGAACAGGACUGGGGUCCUGAUUACGUUGGUUUCUGGGAUCUCAGUAAUGAUUAAUAGGGAUAGUUGGGGGCAUUAGUAUUUAAUUGUCAGAGGUGAAAUUCUUGGAUUUAUGAAAGACUAACUUCUGCGAAAGCAUUUGCCAAGGAUGUUUUCAUUAAUCAAGAACGAAAGUUAGGGGAUCGAAGACGAUCAGAUACCGUCGUAGUCUUAACCAUAAACGAUGCCGACCAGCGAUUGGGAGACGUUACAUGGAUGACUCCCCCAGCAGCUUGCGAGAAAUCACAAGUCUUUGGGUUCCGGGGGGAGUAUGGUCGCAAGGCUGAAACUUAAAGGAAUUGACGGAAGGGCACCACCAGGAGUGGAGCCUGCGGCUUAAUUUGACCCAACACGGGGAAACUUACCAGGUCCAGACAUAGUAAGGAUUGACAGAUUUGAGAGCCCUUUCUUGAUUCUAUGGGUGGUGGUGCAUGGCCGUUCUUAGUUGGUGGAGUGAUUUGUCCGGUUAAUUCCGUUAACGAACGAGACCUUAACCUGCUAAAUAUGUCACUGGUAGACUUCUGCCAAAACAGGUGGGUGUCUAGGGGAAAGUUUCGAUGGACUCCGACGCAUUCAUCUGUGGAUGACUACCAAGAUGUACUUCUUAGAGGGACUAUCUGUAUCAAAGCAGAUGGAAGUUUGAGGCAAUAACUGGUCUGUGAUGCCCUUAGAUGUUCUGGGCCGCACGCGCGCUACACUGACAAGUUCAACGAGUUUAACACCUUGCUCGAUAGGGCUGGGUAAUCUUUGAAAAACUUGUCGUGAUGGGGAUAGAUCAUUGUAAUUAUUGGUCUUCAACGAGGAAUUCCUAGUAAGCGUGAGUCAUCAGCUCGCGUUGAUUACGUCCCUGCCCUUUGUACACACCGCCCGUCGCUCCUACCGAUUGAAUGAUCCGGUGAAAUGUUGGGAGCUGGGGUCUUUGGCGGCGGGGCAACUCGUCGUCAGGGAUUCUGCAAACUUCAUUAAACCUUAUCAUUUAGA